This 462-nucleotide ribosomal RNA is filed under the name uncultured Pelotomaculum sp. RNAcentral's name for it is "bacterial SSU rRNA". It matches the Rfam family "Bacterial small subunit ribosomal RNA", at positions 920 to 1382 of the family's 1533-position model. Lineage: Bacteria; Bacillati; Bacillota; Clostridia; Eubacteriales; Desulfotomaculaceae. The record is from RNAcentral.
CCCGCACAAGCGGUGAGCAUGUGGUUUAAUUCGACGCAACGCGAAGAACCUUACCAGGGCUUGACAUCCCCUGACCGCGUAUGAAAGUACGUUUUCACCCUCGGGUGACAGGGAGACAGGUGGUGCAUGGUUGUCGUCAGCUCGUGUCGUGAGAUGUUGGGUUAAGUCCCGCAACGAGCGCAACCCCUACGUUUAGUUGCUAACGCGUGAAGGCGAGCACUCUAGACGAACUGCCGUUGACAAACGGAGGGAGGUGGGAUGACGUCAAAUCAUCAUGCCCCUUAUGUUCUGGGCUACACACGUGCUACAAUGGCCGGUACAGACGGACGCAAAGCCGCGAGGUGGAGCAAAUCCUAAAAAGCCGGUCUCAGUUCGGAUUGCAGGCUGCAAUUCGCCUGCAUGAAGUCGGAAUCGCUAGUAAUCGCAGGUCAGCAUACUGCGGUGAAUACGUUCCCGGGCCUU